GCCAGGCAUAGUAGCGCAAGCCUGUAAUCCCAGCUACUCAGGAGGCUGAGACAGGAGAAUUGCUUGAGCCCGGGAGGCGGAGGUUGCAGUGAGCUGAGAUCAUGCCACUGCACUCUAGCCUGGGUGACAGAGCAAGACUCUGUCUCAA
RNAcentral lists this non-coding RNA (148 nucleotides) under Gorilla gorilla gorilla (western lowland gorilla). The record is from Rfam by way of RNAcentral. Lineage: Eukaryota; Metazoa; Chordata; Mammalia; Primates; Hominidae.